UCCCCUUCAAUCUAUCAUAUAGAAAAAAAUCUAACUUCAUGCAUAUAUUUUCUUAAAGGAAGAAUAGUUAUUCACUUAACAAAUGAUGAUUGAACUACCUAAAGUCUUUGUUAGAUGUGCUGUGCAAAGUAGGUGAAAAGUUUGUAAAUUAAUACAGAAAAACAUAUAUCUUUUCAUGAAUGAGUGCUUUAUUUUUAGCAAAGAAACUAAACAACAUUCCUAUACGUACAAAACCACAUUUGUCUUUCUUUCUGUGUCGUCUAUAAAUAUGGCCAAAAAACUUUUCCUCUAUUUUCCACUACAAGAACAACUCCUAUACACUUUUGGGAGAAUAUUUAGUAGCUAGCAAGAUCAAAGGUUGAGAGAAAUGAUGAACAAGUUCAAGAAAUCAGAAAUUGUAGUGCUUUUAAGCCUCACAAUUCUUCUAGUAAUAACUCCUCUUCUUUCCUCAUCCCUAAGACCAACUUAUCUCUACUUCAUCUUCAACCUCCUCAUCAUUGCCCUUGGAGUACAAGCUGGGCUUCUCAAUGACCCUCCUCCCGAUCAUCAAGACAAGACCAACAAGCUUUCUCUAACUUCACCUGAAACCGUUGCUUCGUCCACGGAAACCUCCGCCCUCAAGAAGCAUAGGGCUUUGGAGAAGGCUCACUCCGACAAGAUUUCAUCCGGCAAUGUCAAAAUGGAAUCUCUUAAGAAGUGUCCCUCCGCUUCGAGUAUUUUCUAUAUCGGAGAGGGCGAUAGCGAGGCUGAGGAGACGACAGGGACGAUCGAGGACGGGGAAGAGGAGGUCGUUGUCGGGGGCGGUGGAAAUAAUAAUGGUCAAGAAUUGUUUGCUCAAGCUGAGACGUUUAUUGGGAACUUUUACAAGCAGUUGAAGAUGCAGAAAGAAGAGUCUUGGAAAAACAUUCAUGGUUUCUAUCAAAAACGCUUUUGAGGAAAUGAAUGAAAAUUAUAUGAAAAAUAUAUGAACACAAAGACACAAAAGAGAAAGCUGUUGUAGGUUUGUACAGUUUAAUCCAGUUUUAUUGUAUUGUGUUUCUAAUUUUACUUCUCUUUCUGUAACGAAAGCCAAGCCAUAAUAUAUAUAAUUUAAUUUAAGAAAAAUAUAUAUGAAGAUGAAUCUAAGAAGACUAGCUAGCAAGGUUAUAUUAUAUCGUCUAAUAGAUAUACAUACCUAAGUAAACUGCAUGGUCUGUUUGAAGGAAAAAGAAAGUUAGAAGCCUCACUCCAUGUGGGUUUAUGUUUGAACUCAAAUGUUUGAGGAUCAAGCAGUAACUGUAUUAGCAAUAAAAUGUCAAAAUGAUAUGUUUCAAUUAAAGCAACAAAAACUAUGGUAGCCAUUACGGUAAUCGUAACAAUUACGGUAACAAUACCUACGUAAUUUUUCAAGCGCAUUCACUUGGAUUGACAAUUUUAAUUUGUCAAUUAGUUUAUCGUUUGUUGAUUACAAAUUUGAAAGUGGGUCCUAGAUGUAAGUAGGAUUGCACCACACAAGUGAACAACAUCGAAAAUAAUUAAAAAGAGCUCACUUUUCUUAUUUGUAUUGAUCGAUCUAUUAUGUUUUCUAUAGGAAAACAUGGACUAAGCACAAAGCUUGCAAAUAUUAAUAAAGAGGCGAGGUUGAUAUUGCAAAGAUAGGAGACAUAUAUGAUCAUUGCAACCUUGAAAAUGUUGGUCUUAGGCGUUGGCCAUAACAUAAAAUUUUAACAUUGAAAUGAACUAAAAGAACCAAAAUUAAAAUAUUCUUUUAUGGGCAAGGCAGGAGGUGAAAAAGAUGGUUCAAUGAGAGAAAAUGAGAUAUUUUGGUGGGAAAGAAAAGCACUUUAAGAAAAAGUUAUUAACUUUUGAAAAGAAAUUCUUCAUAAAAAAAGAAAAGGACAU
Molecule: long non-coding RNA, 1881 nt
Filed under: Cucumis sativus (cucumber)
Lineage: Eukaryota; Viridiplantae; Streptophyta; Magnoliopsida; Cucurbitales; Cucurbitaceae
Description: long non-coding RNA (CSAT_LNC000872)
Source: RNAcentral